RNAcentral lists this ribosomal RNA (468 nucleotides) under uncultured archaeon. RNAcentral describes it as "bacterial SSU rRNA". It matches the Rfam family "Archaeal small subunit ribosomal RNA", at positions 1 to 471 of the family's 1478-position model. The record is from RNAcentral.
UUCCGGUUGAUCCUGCCGGAGGCCAUUGCUAUGGGGGUCCGAUUUAGCCAUGCUAGUCGCACGGGUUCAGACCCGUGGCGAAUAGCUCCGUAACACGUGGUCAAACUGCCCUGUGGACUCGGAUAACCUCGGGAAACUGAGGCUAAUUCGGGAUACGACUCGAUGCCUGGAGUGGCUCGGGUCCGAAACGUUCUGGCGCCACAGGAUGUGACUGCGGCCGAUUAGGUAGACGGUGGGGUAACGGCCCACCGUGCCGAUAAUCGGUACGGGUGAUGAAAGUCAGAGCCCGGAGACGGUAUCUGAGACAAGAUACCGGGCCCUACGGGGCGCAGCAGGCGCGAAACCUUUACACUGCACGGAAGUGCGAUAAGGGGACCCCGAGUGCGAGGGCAUACAGUCCUCGCUUUUCACGACCGUAAGGUGGUCGUGGAACAAGAGCUGGGCAAGACCGGUGCCAGCCGCCGCGGU